UCAAUAAGCGGAGGAAAAGAAACUAACAAGGAUUCCCCUAGUAACUGCGAGUGAAGCGGGAAAAGCUCAAAUUUAAAAUCUGGUGGUCUUUGGCCAUCCGAGUUGUAAUUUAGAGAAGCGUCUUCCGCGCUGGACCGUGCACAAGUCUCCUGGAAUGGAGCGUCAUAGAGGGUGAGAAUCCCGUCUUUGGCACGGACGCACCAGGGCUUUUGCGAUGCGCUCUCGAAGAGUCGAGUUGUUUGGGAAUGCAGCUCAAAAUGGGUGGUGAACUCCAUCUAAAGCUAAAUAUUGGCGAGAGACCGAUAGCGAACAAGUACCGUGAGGGAAAGAUGAAAAGCACUUUGGAAAGAGAGUGAAACAGUACGUGAAAUUGUUGAAAGGGAAACGCUUGAAGUCAGUCGCGUUGACCGAGACUCAGCCUCGCCUCGGCUUGGUGUACUUCUCGGCCCGACGGGUCAGCAUCGAUUUCGACCCUUGGAUAAUGGCGAGGGAAACGUGACACCUUUGGGUGUGUUAUAGUCUCUCGUCGCAUGCGAGGGUCGGGAUCGAGGAACUCAGCACGCGCCUUUGGGUGUCGGGGUUUUGCCCACGAUACGUGCUUAGGAUGUUGGCAUAAUGGCUUUAAACGACCCGUCUUGAAACACGGACCAAGGAGUCUAACAUGCCCGCGAGUGUUCGGGUGGAAAACCCGUGCGCGCAAUGAAAGUGAAAGUUGGGACCUCCGUCGUGGAGGGCACCGACGCCCGGACCAGACCUUCUGUGACGGCUCUGCGGUAGAGCGUGCAUGUUAGGACCCGAAAGAUGGUGAACUAUGCCUGAAUAGGGUGAAGCCAGAGGAAACUCUGGUGGAGGCUCGUAGCGAUUCUGACGUGCAAAUCGAUCGUCAAAUUUGGGUAUAGGGGCGAAAGACUAAUCGAACCAUCUAGUAGCUGGUUCU
RNAcentral lists this ribosomal RNA (937 nucleotides) under Russula sp. Its description in RNAcentral is "partial large subunit ribosomal RNA". It matches the Rfam family "Eukaryotic large subunit ribosomal RNA", at positions 43 to 958 of the family's 3401-position model. The record is from RNAcentral. Lineage: Eukaryota; Fungi; Basidiomycota; Agaricomycetes; Russulales; Russulaceae.